UGGUAAGAAGAGGACUUAAACCUCUGUGAAUGGGG
This 35-nucleotide transfer RNA is filed under the name Boana raniceps (Chaco treefrog). RNAcentral's name for it is "Hypsiboas raniceps (Chaco treefrog) partial tRNA-Tyr". Lineage: Eukaryota; Metazoa; Chordata; Amphibia; Anura; Hylidae. The record is from RNAcentral.